GCGAAGAGAAGUCUCGCCUGUAUGGUAGU
Molecule: small RNA, 29 nt
Filed under: Bombyx mori (domestic silkworm)
Lineage: Eukaryota; Metazoa; Arthropoda; Insecta; Lepidoptera; Bombycidae
Description: ovarian small RNA-16767
Source: RNAcentral